This 93-nucleotide ribosomal RNA is filed under the name Mortierella alpina. Its description in RNAcentral is "5.8S ribosomal RNA". Lineage: Eukaryota; Fungi; Mortierellomycota; Mortierellomycetes; Mortierellales; Mortierellaceae. The record is from RNAcentral.
AUGCAGGUGCAGCUGGACUUUUCUCUGAGCUAUAAGCAUAUCUAUUUAGUCUGCCUAAAAAACAGAUUAUUACCUUUGCUGCAGCUAACAUAA